RNAcentral lists this ribosomal RNA (226 nucleotides) under uncultured Pseudomonadales bacterium. Its description in RNAcentral is "partial 16S ribosomal RNA". It matches the Rfam family "Bacterial small subunit ribosomal RNA", at positions 105 to 334 of the family's 1533-position model. The record is from RNAcentral. Lineage: Bacteria; Pseudomonadati; Pseudomonadota; Gammaproteobacteria; Pseudomonadales.
GGUGAGUAAUGCCUAGGAAUCUGCCUGGUAGUGGGGGACAACGUUUCGAAAGGAACGCUAAUACCGCAUACGUCCUACGGGAGAAAGCAGGGGACCUUCGGGCCUUGCGCUAUCAGAUGAGCCUAGGUCGGAUUAGCUAGUUAGUGAGGUAAUGGCUCACCAAGGCGACGAUCCGUAACUGGUCUGAGAGGAUGAUCAGUCACACUGGAACUGAGACACGGUCCAG